RNAcentral lists this ribosomal RNA (972 nucleotides) under Triticum aestivum (bread wheat). RNAcentral's name for it is "partial small subunit ribosomal RNA". The record is from RNAcentral. Lineage: Eukaryota; Viridiplantae; Streptophyta; Magnoliopsida; Poales; Poaceae.
AUGGCAGCAGCCAGUGCUCUUCUCAUGGCGGCUCUCGCGGUCUUCGCCGCGGCCGCCGCGGCGGCGCUGGACACGUCGCCGGUGCCGUUCGACGCCGGGUACGCGCCGCUAUUCGGGGGCGACAACCUCGUGCGGUCGGCGGACGGCCGGAGCGUCACGCUCAAGCUGGACCGAUACACCGGGUCUGGGUUCAUAUCCAAGUCGGCCUACCGCCAUGGGUUCUUCGGCGCUUCCAUUAAGCUGCCGGCCGACUACACCGCCGGCGUCGUCGUCGCCUUCUACCUGUCGAACUGGGACGAGUAUCCCAAGAACCACGACGAGCUGGACUUCGAGCUGCUGGGCAACCGGCGCGGUCACGGCUGGCGUGUCCAGACCAACAUGUACGGCAACGGCAGCACCGUGCGCGGCCGAGAGGAGCGUUACCAUCUCCCCGUCGAACCUACCGUCGCCGGCGUCCAUCGCUAUGCCAUCGCCUGGACCCCCAACAACAUCGUCUUCUACCUCGACGGCGUCCCCAUCCGCGAGGUGGUCCGCGUUCCCUCCAUGGGCGGCGACUUCCCCUCCAAGCCCAUGUCCGUCUACGCCACCAUCUGGGAUGGCUCCGCCUGGGCCACCGACGGCGGCAAGUACAAGGUCGACUACGCCUACGCGCCAUUCGCCGCCGAGUUCUCCGACCUCGUCCUGAGCGGCUGCGACGCCAGCAGCGUCGCCGACCCCGAGGGGUGCCAGGUCGACCUGCUCACGCACGACGUCGCCGUCAUGGCCCCUGCCAAGCGCGCCGCCAUGAGGGGGUUCCGCGAGCAGUACCUGACCUACACGGCGUGCCGCGACAGGGUGCGAUACAAGACCACCGUCUUCCCCGAGUGUGACGACCUCGCCGACGGCGACUCCAGCUUCCACCUCUGGGGGGAGUCCAAGAAGAGGCGCCGCCGCUCGUCGUCGCCGCUGCAGUACUCUUCCAGCAUGCAGUAG